Molecule: long non-coding RNA, 1791 nt
Filed under: Parus major (Great Tit)
Lineage: Eukaryota; Metazoa; Chordata; Aves; Passeriformes; Paridae
Description: lncRNA (ENSPMJG00000001742.1)
Source: RNAcentral
GGGUGGAACAUGAGAGGUGCCAAUUAUGAACCUUUAUAUAAUAUAAAGAUUAUGAACCUUUUAUCUCCAGUGGAGUGCUCCAGAGAUGUAGGGGCUUCAGUUUUUGGGAAUGAUUAUCCAAGGAUGGGGAAGACAGUGCUCCAAACCAUCUGUGUGAGCUGAUUCAGCCCUCUCAGCAUCAGCUCUUUCCCCUCAUGGGUAAAGUUUCAAAGCUAACACAGGCCCUGACAACUUUGGGGCUGUAAGCAGUAGUCUCCGGUAUUCCAGAUCAUCUCUUCUUCAUGGCCUGGCUCAGUGAUACUCUGGCAUUGAUUAAAAUAUGUGUCAAAGACUGACAGACAACACUAUACAUGUCUAUAGCUAUAUACACAAUAUAUAUUUACAAACUAUAUUAUGUAUAUAGGUAUAAAUAUAUAAAGUUUAUAUAAAGAAGAGGACAAUAGUAAAUUUCUGCUUUUUGUUUUUAUUAUUUAUUGUAUUUAAAGGUCUGAGGUAGAGAAAGGUUCUCUGGAAUGGUCUCAGGCCACUGUACAGCAACAGCUCUGAGUGGCCACAUAGUGCUGCAUCUGAACCCCUGACCCAGGAACAAAAUGAAUUACGUGUAGACUGAGGUAUGGAGAUGGGACAACUCCAGUUUCUCACGUUUCAAAGGAAUAAAGCAGUGACUGUAGACAGUGGUUGCUUGGAGCUAGCUCUUCUCUUCCCAGCUUGCCUAUGGAUCCUCCUGAGCAGCCAUCUUUCACAUGCAUGCUCAGGAGAACAUUCUGGAAAGCAGCUCAAGUGUGAAAUUUUGGGAAGAGCCUUUGUUGCUGACUUCAGACAGGAAAAUCACACCCUGGAAGAGGAAAAGGCCAAGAGUGCUAGCAGGUCUGUUCCUACUAAAGGGCUGAUGGUACUUGCAUGGUGCAGAAACGUUGAAUUUUCUCUCUGCUUCCUGAGAGAAUUAUUAGACUGGCUGGUUUGAUAAAUUCAGGCAGACUGCUUUGACUUUCAAUGCACAAAAGUUGUACAAAGUUGUUUAUAUAUAUAUAUACAAAUAUUUUGAAUAUUUAUAUCUGGGUACAGGGUACCCAGAGAAUCUGUGGCUGCCCCACCCCUGGAAGUGUUCAAGGUCAGGUAGGAUGGGGCUUUGAGCAACCUGGAAUAGUGGAAGGUGUCCCUGCCCAUAGCAGGGGCUUUGGGACUAGGUGAUCUUUGAGGUCCCUUCCAACCCAGGCCAUUCAGUGAUUGUGUGGCAGUUGGGGCUGCACACGAUGUGCUGAUGGUGUGGGUGGCAUUGGCAGCACAUCCUGACAUGGGUGAGCCCACGGGAGCUGCUGCACCCACGGCCAGCAGUUCACCCUGUCACCCCUCUGCUCGUCCCCAGCCAGAUGCUCUGCCUCCAGCUCAGCACUGAGGUCUACAGGGCCCUCUCUGAGGAGAUGAGAAGAGAAAAAUCAGUGUCAGGCAUGCUCUUCAUCCUGCAGAGCUGCUGCUGGGGGUGCAGGGGCUGCACCAGGGAAGGGCUGAAAUCAGCUGGCUGGAGGGACACCAUCCCAUGCCUAUCAAUCAGAUGGUGAUGGGAAACUACGUGGGCUUUUCACUCACCCACAAGGUCUUUCAGUUAAAAAGACCAAAUGUGAUACGGCUCCUCCUUAAGCCCCUUUGAUAUUUAGAGAGUGAAAAAUUAAGUUUUGUUUCAGCUGAGAUCUAGCACAGCUCCACAUGUCAGUUUGCUUCAGCAAAUAGGCAGCGUUUCUAUGUUUUUUACUUAGAAAUCUCUGUUUAUAAUAAAACAAACAUACAGCUUCA